AGAGUUUGAUCCUGGCUCAGGACGAACGCUGGCGGCGUGCUUAACACAUGCAAGUCGAACGGAAAGGCCUGCAGCUUGCUGCGGGUACUCGAGUGGCGAACGGGUGAGUAACACGUGGGUGAUCUGCCUUGCACUUCGGGAUAAGCUUGGGAAACUGGGUCUAAUACCGGAUAGGACAGCUGUUUAGUGUCAGUUGUGGAAAGUUUUUUCGGUGCAAGAUGAGCUCGCGGCCUAUCAGCUUGUUGGUGGGGUAAUGGCCUACCAAGGCGUCGACGGGUAGCCGGCCUGAGAGGGUGUACGGCCACAUUGGGACUGAGAUACGGCCCAGACUCCUACGGGAGGCAGCAGUGGGGAAUAUUGCACAAUGGGCGGAAGCCUGAUGCAGCGACGCCGCGUGGGGGAUGAAGGCCUUCGGGUUGUAAACUCCUUUCGACAGGGACGAAGCGUAAGUGACGGUACCUGUAUAAGAAGCACCGGCUAACUACGUGCCAGCAGCCGCGGUAAUACGUAGGGUGCGAGCGUUGUCCGGAAUUACUGGGCGUAAAGAGCUCGUAGGUGGUUUGUCGCGUCGUCUGUGAAAUUCCGGGGCUUAACUCCGGGCGUGCAGGCGAUACGGGCUGACUUGAGUGCUGUAGGGGAGACUGGAAUUCCUGGUGUAGCGGUGAAAUGCGCAGAUAUCAGGAGGAACACCGAUGGCGAAGGCAGGUCUCUGGGCAGUAACUGACGCUGAGGAGCGAAAGCAUGGGUAGCGAACAGGAUUAGAUACCCUGGUAGUCCAUGCCGUAAACGGUGGGCGCUAGGUGUAGGGGGCUUCCACGUCUUCUGUGCCGUAGCUAACGCAUUAAGCGCCCGCCUGGGGAGUACGGCCGCAAGGCUAAAACUCAAAGGAAUUGACGGGGGCCCGCACAAGCGGCGGAGCAUGUGGAUUAAUUCGAU
RNAcentral lists this ribosomal RNA (936 nucleotides) under Corynebacterium striatum. RNAcentral's name for it is "bacterial SSU rRNA". It matches the Rfam family "Bacterial small subunit ribosomal RNA", at positions 8 to 955 of the family's 1533-position model. The record is from RNAcentral. Lineage: Bacteria; Bacillati; Actinomycetota; Actinomycetes; Mycobacteriales; Corynebacteriaceae.